GCCUGUAGUGAGCACAAUCCACCGGGCCAGAUAUGGAGGAGGAUGGUUGAUCGCAGGAGGUGAAGAGAGGCGAAGGCAGUAGGAAGCUCAGGGAGAGAUGAGUUUGGGCUUCAAAUGGUGGAAAGGGCAGCUUCAGGGACAAGGAGUUAAGUUGUUCUCAGGGUUUGGUGGGUUUUUUGUGUCUUUCUGCUUUUAGUUUUCAUUUUAAACCCAGCUUUUGGACAACUUUUUCUACCAAGCUUUAAUUUGUUGGUUUAGUCCAAAAGGUUAAUAUUUGACAGCCACAUAAUGGAUAGUGACAUCUGUUGAGUCAAGGGUCUUCCAGAUUCAGAUGUUGCAGACUUUUUAGUCCUUAGUUUUCAUGAUCUGCAGCACCAUGUGGGUGAAAUCAGGCGUCAAAGCAAAUGUUUCUCGUAAGAUUUACGAUAGACUCACGGUGGCAGAGCCUGACACCUCUGUCAGGUUAGGGGAAGCUGAGGUGUGAUACAGGAAAGAAUCAGGAAAUUAUCAUCACAGUUGAAUCAGAGUCGAAGUUUGGCUUUCUAAUGGCCAUUUUGGUCAGAUUGAAAUAGCAGCAUGUAUUGAGGAAGUCACCAGUAGACAGAGUAGGAGAAUCAGGCUGAACCCAAAGUGGCCUCAAGCUCAACUCCAGCUGCAGAAAACCACAAGAGGAGACGCAGCAGAAUUAAAUAAAGGUGAGGCUGAAGAGGACAUGAUGGCCACGCAGAAGAUUUCCAACUUCCAUUUCCUCUCCUAUCCUUGUAUUUCUACGUCUUCGACCUCCUGCUCUCACUGCCCUUUGCAGCUGAAGCAACACACCUUGCUGUGGCUGGUCAAACGGAACCAAGUCAGGUGUUUCUGUGAGGUUUGGUCCCCUUCAACCAGCUACUGCGUCGUGAAUUCAGUCAGCGUGGAGUCAAAGACAGAGUGUGGUGUAUGCUGCUUUUUACAGAGGUGGUAGUUUAUUGACAGUGAUGUUAUUUAUUUGUUUCUGUAGUUUAGUGUUGGUUGUUCUCUGCAUGGUCAUUUAUGUUUGAAAAAGUAAAUAAAGAUUUCUGAUAACAUCAAGUGGUGAAUUACAAUUAAUUCUGAAUGUGUAAAGUUUUAAAAGUGGUUACCAAAUGUGAAAUAUAGUUUCGUAGAGUAAAAUGUCCCAAUACAAGCCCAUUUGAAACUUUUUUUUGUGUAUGUUGGUAAGGGUUUUCUUCUGUUUUAUUAGUUAUAGAGUGGUAUAAAAUGUGUUGCCUUUGUCCAAGUAUUACUACAAAUAAGUCAUUAUGUACAGUCAAUGUCUGAUAAUAACACUCUGCAUUGUAUACAACAUUUCAAAUAAAAUGUGAUUCUUACAGUA
Gymnodraco acuticeps is the source of this 1351-nucleotide long non-coding RNA. RefSeq lists it as uncharacterized. The transcript has 2 exons. NCBI's taxonomy places the organism in Eukaryota, Metazoa, Chordata, Actinopteri, Perciformes, Bathydraconidae. The record is from RefSeq and is a predicted model, not a curated record.